Small nucleolar RNA from Dioscorea cayenensis subsp. rotundata (Guinea yam), 112 nucleotides. NCBI's taxonomy places the organism in Eukaryota, Viridiplantae, Streptophyta, Magnoliopsida, Dioscoreales, Dioscoreaceae. The record is from RefSeq and is a predicted model, not a curated record.
AAGCUAUGGUGUGGGCAUAGUCUCAUAAGCUCCUUGAAUCUGUCCCAAGCCUCAUACAACGAUUCACCAUCCUUUUGAUAAAAACUAGUGAUUUGGUUCCGCAACUGAGCUG